UCUCUAACCUUAAAAAUUCGAAAAGUGUAUGAAGAGGCGACCCAUGUUUGUUUUCUUCUUCUUUUCACCUCAUCCCAAAUUGGCUGCUGAAUCAUUCAAAUGGAAAUCGGAAAGUGAUACAUAUAGGAGGGAGGUCAAGUAGACUCCUUUUUUAAACUUCCAAAAAUCAACCAUGACAACGAAGUUUUCGCGUUGCUGUACAAGAUAUUGUCAUCCGAAGUUCAGACUAUAAAAGGAGAAGACAAUGAGAAAGUCAAUCAACUGAGAGUGGACAUUACCAUCUCAGAAAUCUCGCAGCUCACCGACAAGAUGAAAAAAGCGUUUUUGGAGCAGCCAGCUCUCCUGGAAAUUAGCAAUGAGCCAAUCACAGUGGUCGCCGAUAUGCACGGCCAAUCGAUUCACCUGCUCCGAAUCUUCCUGACAAAUGAGGCUCCCCCGAAUCAAAAGUACUUGUUCCUCGGGGACUACGUGGACCGUGGAUCACAAAGUGUGGUGGUGAUGUGUCUUCUGUUCUGCAUGAAACAUCGCUAUCCUCAGCAUGUUUUCUUGCUGCGUGGCAAUCAUGAAGACGUCAAUACUACGCUGAACUACGGAUUCUAUGAUGAAUGCCUGGAGCAGUGGAAGAACGAUGAAGGAGAGAAAGUGUGGAGAAUGUUCAUUGAUACUUUCAAUUGUAUGCCGUUGGCGGCGGUUAUUGGAGGGAAGGUGUUCUGUGCACAUGGUGGAAUUUCGCCUUGGCUGGAAAGUUUGGAGGAUAUUAAUUCGAUCGAGCGUCCCUUGGUGGUCCCACCGUACGGCCUAGCGUGCGAUCUUCUCUGGUCGGACCCGGCUCAGCCGGAACGCAACGGCUGGGGCCUCAGUCACCGUGGAAUUUCAUUCACUUAUGGCAAAAGUGUUGUCGAAGAGUUUUGUGCGAAAAAUGACAUUGCUCUGGUGAUUCGGGGACAUCAACUGUUUAAGGAGAUGUACCCGCAAGGAUGUGUGCUUCGUUUCGGCGGUCGCCUGAUCUCCCUGUUCUCCGCACUGAACUACGAAGGACACAAGAACAAUAGCUCCGUGCUCAAGCUUGAAUUCGUCGGACAGCGUGUGAAGGUUAAGCAGGUUCUGUACAGAUGCCGACACUACGCACCGCUCCGUUCUAAUGAGUACUUGGGAUUUCGCGAUAUGAAGUCGUCAUCUGGGAAGAAUGAAAAGAGAAAGAAAGGAAGAUUGGAGAGUCUUUUGGGAUAGUG
RNA transcript from Caenorhabditis elegans, 1232 nucleotides. It is a transcript of the gene named Non-coding transcript of protein-coding gene W03D8.2c, with no coding region annotated. NCBI's taxonomy places the organism in Eukaryota, Metazoa, Nematoda, Chromadorea, Rhabditida, Rhabditidae. The record is from RefSeq and is marked reviewed. The transcript is spliced from 4 exons.